ACGGAGGGUGCAAGCGUUAUCCGGAAUCAUUGGGUUUAAAGGGUCCGCAGGCGGACAUAUAAGUCAGUGGUGAAAUCCCAUCGCUUAACGAUGGAACUGCCAUUGAUACUGUAUGUCUUGAAUGGGGUCGAAGUGGGCGGAAUAUGUCAUGUAGCGGUGAAAUGCUUAGAUAUGACAUAGAACACCGAUAGCGAAGGCAGCUCACUAGGCCUUUAUUGACGCUCAUGGACGAAAGCGUGGGGAGCAAACAGG
RNAcentral lists this ribosomal RNA (252 nucleotides) under uncultured bacterium. RNAcentral describes it as "partial 16S ribosomal RNA". It matches the Rfam family "Bacterial small subunit ribosomal RNA", at positions 525 to 776 of the family's 1533-position model. The record is from RNAcentral.